RNAcentral lists this ribosomal RNA (253 nucleotides) under uncultured bacterium. Its description in RNAcentral is "partial 16S ribosomal RNA". It matches the Rfam family "Bacterial small subunit ribosomal RNA", at positions 524 to 776 of the family's 1533-position model. The record is from RNAcentral.
CACGGGGGGAGCAAGCGUUGUUCGGAAUCACUGGGCGUAAAGGGCGUGUAGGCGGUCAGGUAAGUGGGACGUGAAAUGCCUCGGCUCACCUGAGGAGCGGCGUCCCAUACUGCUUGGCUUGAGUACGGGAGAGGAUGUGGGAAUUCCUGGUGUAGCGGUGAAAUGCGUAGAUAUCAGGAGGAACACCGGUGGCGAAGGCGCACAUCUGGCCCGAUACUGACGCUGAGGCGCGAAAGCUAGGGGAGCAAACGGG